CAGCAGCCACGGUAAUACAGAGGAUGCAAGCGUUAUCCGGAAUGAUUGGGUGUAAAGGGAGCGUAGACAGUUAAACAAGUCUGAAGUGAAAUGCCGGGGCUCAACCCCGGAGCUGCUUUGGGAACUGUAGAACUGGAGUGUCGGAGGGGUAAGCGGAAUUCCCAGUGUAGCGGUGAAAUGCGUAGAUAUUGGGAGGAACACCGGCGGCGAAGGCGGCUUACUGGACGACAACUGACGUUGAGGCUCGAAGGCGUGGGUAGCAAACAGGAUUAGAUACCCGCGUAGUCCCUGUCUCUUAUAC
This 301-nucleotide ribosomal RNA is filed under the name uncultured bacterium. Its description in RNAcentral is "partial 16S ribosomal RNA". It matches the Rfam family "Bacterial small subunit ribosomal RNA", at positions 509 to 807 of the family's 1533-position model. The record is from RNAcentral.